RNAcentral lists this ribosomal RNA (432 nucleotides) under uncultured bacterium. RNAcentral's name for it is "partial 16S ribosomal RNA". It matches the Rfam family "Bacterial small subunit ribosomal RNA", at positions 29 to 507 of the family's 1533-position model. The record is from RNAcentral.
AACGAACGCUGGCGGCAUGCCUAACACAUGCAAGUCGAACGAGACCUUCGGGUCUAGUGGCGCACGGGUGCGUAACGCGUGGGAACCUGCCCUUAGGUUCGGAAUAACUCCCCGAAAGGGGUGCUAAUACCGGAUAAUGUCUUCGGACCAAAGAUUUAUCGCCUUGGAUGGGCCCGCGUUGGAUUAGCUAGUUGGUAGGGUAAAAGCCUACCAAGGCGACGAUCCAUAGCUGGUCUGAGAGGAUGAUCAGCCACACUGGGACUGAGACACGGCCCAGACUCCUACGGGAGGCAGCAGUGGGGAAUAUUGGACAAUGAGCGAAAGCCUGAUCCAGCAAUGCCGCGUGAGUGAUGAAGGCCUUAGGGUUGUAAAGCUCUUUUACCCGGGAUGAUAAUGACAGUACCGGGAGAAUAAGCUCCGGCUAACUCCGUG